Molecule: long non-coding RNA, 915 nt
Organism: Clupea harengus (Atlantic herring)
Lineage: Eukaryota; Metazoa; Chordata; Actinopteri; Clupeiformes; Clupeidae
Source: Ensembl
CCCACUCUGACAAUAAAAACUGGUUGAAGAAAAUGUUUACGGUUUAAUUGCUCUCCAUAUCAGCAACACAGGCCCUAAAAAAAGACAGUUAGGCAGAAAGAAAACAGCGGUGAGAACAUGACAGUAGAGGUGGUGGCACAGGCACAGGCACAGGCAACACUGAGAGAACAUGACAGUAGAGGUGGUGGCACAGGCACAGGUAACACUGAGAGAUCAUGACAGUAGUGGUGGUGGCACAGGCAACACUGAGAGAACAUGACAGUAGUGGUGGCACAGGCAAAGGCACAGGCAACACGGAGAGAACAUGACAGUAGAGGUGGCACAGGCACAGGUAACACUGAGAGAACAUGACAGUAGAAGUGAUGGCACAGGUAACACUGAGAGAACAUGACAGUAGUGGUGGUGGCACAGGCACAGGCACAGGCACAGGCAACACUGAGAGAACAUGACAGUAGUGGUGGCACAGGCACAGGUAACACAGAGAGAACAUGACAGUAGAGGUUGUGGCACAGGCACAGGCAACACUGAGAGAACAUGACAGUAGUGGUGGCACAGGCACAGGCAACACUGAGAGAACAUGACAGUAGUGGUGGCACAGGCACAGGCAACACUGAGAGAACAUGACAGUAGAGAAGGUGGCACAGGCACAGGCAACACUGAGAGAACAUGACAGUAGAGGUGGUGGCACAGGCACAGGCAACACUGAGAGAACAUGACAGUAGUGGUGGUGGCACAGGCACAGGCAACACAGAGAGAACAUGACAGUAGAGGUGGUGGCACAGGCACAGGUAACACUGAGAGAACAUGACAGUAGAGGUGGCACAGGCAACACUGAGAGAACAUGACAGUAGAGGAGGUGGCACAGGCACAGGCACAGGUAACACUGAGAGAACAUGACAGUAGAGGUGGUGGCAC